This is a non-coding RNA of Acanthosepion pharaonis, 113 nucleotides long. NCBI's taxonomy places the organism in Eukaryota, Metazoa, Mollusca, Cephalopoda, Sepiida, Sepiidae. The record is from the annotation of a GenBank genome assembly.
UUACGGCCAUAUCACGUUCAAAUACCAGUCCCCGUACGAUCACCGAAGUGAAGCAACGUCAAGCCUGGUCAGUACCUAGAUAGGUGUCCGUUUAGGAAUGUCUAGUACUGUAA